This is a long non-coding RNA of Neodiprion virginianus, 1153 nucleotides long. RefSeq lists it as uncharacterized. NCBI's taxonomy places the organism in Eukaryota, Metazoa, Arthropoda, Insecta, Hymenoptera, Diprionidae. The record is from RefSeq and is a predicted model, not a curated record. The transcript has 2 exons.
GCUGAAAUACUAUCGUAGUUUCACAUAUCUUUCGCAUAUAUACGAAUUCUAUGAUUAGACAAUCGUGUAAAAACGAUUAUUUUUCUCUUAAAAUUUAACUUUUCGAAUAGUUUAAUUUCUCGUUAGUUUGCAUUCCGUGUAAUUAUUUCAUUACUUCACCUGCAUAUUCAUUCGUUAAUAACUCAUUGUUCCGCGUGCUGCGUGUGCGUGUGCAGAAGCGCGCACGGCGCGCCAAGAUUUAUACAAUAGUUUGGCAGCCGUUUGAAUUCUAUACAAUAACGGCAGGUGUAACGUGAAAUUAGAAGGUCGUAAUUAGCUGUUAUCUACCGAUGUAGAAUUUGAUUAACGCUCGUACAGCAAGACUCGAGGGCCUAAUUAUAUCAUAUAAUUAAAUAUGAUGAAAAACAUUGUACUCGUGUGAAAGUAAGAUUGAAUCUUACUUUUCAAUCGAAAAAUAACAAUCUAAUAAAAAAUUUACAUGAUUUCUAUUUACUUUUAUCGUAACAAUGCAAUGUGUAUAGAAUCUCGUCAUAUUAUUAGAUUCGUUAUUAAAUUAUAUUGCUUUCAAUGCCAUCGUCGUAUGACAAUUUGUAUCGCUAUUAACUUUCGAAAUAUUUGAGUAUUACCACUCGGGUGUAUGAUUGAUUUUUAAUUCGAAAAUUAUAAUAUAAAGGAUGCAUUAAGAAUUUUUUUUAUUGGUACCUCUAAUUUUUUGGCAGAAUUUGUGGAAAUGGGUGAAGGGAAAUUUAACACAGGGGAAAUUCGCCUGGAAUUAUGCAAUUCAGGGUACAUUUUACCGAUCGGGAUUCGAUUCAUAGUAAAUGAUUGAAAAACGCGAGGAAAUUUGACCAAUCUUGAAAGAUGAAGAAAUUGCGUAAAUGCAGGUGAAUUAUUAUCAUCCACGAUUCCAGGUUAAACAGCCGAUCAGACAUUUCCAUUAAUUUUACCGGUAUGGUAAUUCAUCCGUAUUAUAUUUACGCAAAAUAUGUAGUCAAGUGUUUCGAAAGUUAAACUCUUGAGGAGUUUCCUUCAUUUUACGUAUAAAAUUUUACAAUUAGGGAUGAUGACGCGAUAUUGUAUAGCGUGUAGAGUACGUAUUUACGAUUGUCAUUGUCUAUAAAUAUAAAUAUACAAUAUAGGAAUAUGUAUAAUU